Molecule: ribosomal RNA, 2067 nt
Filed under: Triticum aestivum (bread wheat)
Lineage: Eukaryota; Viridiplantae; Streptophyta; Magnoliopsida; Poales; Poaceae
Description: partial small subunit ribosomal RNA
Source: RNAcentral
AUGAGUUCUCACCACUUUGUAAUCAUGGUGUUUUGCUUCUGCUCCUUAUUGUUUUCCAUCCAUGCCCCUUUUGCUACCUCACUCUCCUUCAACUUCAACUUCUCCGAUCCCGGCUCCUACUGCGCCCCGGAUGCGGAUAUUGCCUGCGCUGGCGAUGCCUUCUUCCACGCCCCUUUCAUGGAGCUGUCCAAGAACGAUAUCAGUGAAGGCAACAACCACAGCAUCGGUCGCGUAUGGUACACGCAGCCGGUGCCGCUCUGGGACAAGGCCACCGGCGAGGUGGCCAGCUUUAACACUUCUUUCUCCUUCCAAAUUAGGCCGGUCAACGCGGAUUACAGCGCCGAUGGGAUGGCCUUCUUCCUUGGGCACUACCCGUCGGGCAUCCCUCUGGGGAGCUAUGGUGGGAAUCUCGGACUUUUCAAUGGUAGCAACAACAAGAAUGCAACCGGUAGUGACCGUAUUGUGGCGGUCGAGUUUGACACCUUCAGGAACAUGCAAUUGGACGACAAUGACAACCAUGUCGGUAUCGAUGUCAAUUCCAUUGUUUCGGUUGUGUCAACCUCACCUGAUAAGAAACUUACACUAGGUACCACAAUGACCGCGGAGAUCAGCUACGAGAAUAGCACAGAGAAAUUGUCAGUUAUUCUCUGGAUCAGUGAAACCUCAUACCGAAUCAACACAAGUAUUGACAUGAAAAUAUGUUUGCCAGAGGAGGUGGCAAUUGGCUUCUCAGCGGCUACUGGUAGCUCCAUCGAGGUACACCGGGUUCUAUCAUGGUCAUUCAACUCAACCCUAGCAGGUAAGAGUUUGUCGACAUUGCUACCAGGAGUAGUGCCUGUGCCUCCUGAAACUGUGAGCUCCAAAUCACAAAGAAAAGUACAGGCUACAAUAGCAUUUUCAGCUGCAAUAUUUUCUGUGUUGGUGUGUUCUUUCAUGGGUUUUCUUCUACGGAAGCAACGAGUAUGGAAGAAAGCAAAUCAAACCUCCGAUGGUGAAUUUGAAGAUGAAAAUGAUAAGGCUGAAUUUGAGAAAGGGGUUGGCCCUAGGAGGUACCAUUAUAGUGAGCUUGCUGCUGCGACAGGCAACUUUGCAGAAGAAAAGAAGCUAGGGAGAGGUGGAUUCGGCCAUGUUUACCAGGGCUGCCUGCGGAUUGAUGACAAGGAUCGCCAUGUUGCGAUAAAGAAGCUCUCGUCUGAAUCAUCUGUUCAAGGGAGGAAGGAGUUUGAGGCUGAGAUCAAGAUCAUAAGUCGGCUCAGGCAUCGGAACCUUGUCCAGUUAAUUGGGUGGUGUGACAGUUGCAAGGGGCUCUUGAUUGUCUAUGAGCUGGUAUCCGAAGGAAGUCUUGACAAGCAUAUAUAUAAUAGAGGCGGGCUGCUAAAAUGGCCUGAAAGGUACAAUAUCAUCGUUGGCCUCGGCUCUGCUCUGCGCUAUCUCCAUUCAGAGUGGGAGCAGAGCAUCGUGCACGGCGACAUCAAGCCAAGCAACAUCAUGCUCGACACAUCAUACAACACCAAGCUGGGGGACUUUGGCUUGGCAAGGCUUGUGGACCAUGGAGCCAAGUCCGAGACAACCAAAGUCGUGAUGGGAACCGCCGGAUACAUCGAUCCUGAGCUUGUCAACACGCGCAGGCCGAGCACCGAGUCGGAUGUCUACAGCUUCGGCAUCGUCCUCCUGGAGGUGGUGUCUGGCCGACACCCUGUGGCGGAGUCAGAGGACAAGUUCUUUGUGCUGCUGAGAUGGGUCUGGGACCUGCACAUCAAAAACACUAUACUUGAAGUGGUGGACAAGAGACUGAGGGGUGGUGAUGAGAUGGACGAGCGGCAGAUGGAGCGCGUGCUGGUCGUCGGGCUCUGGUGCGCGCACCCCGACCGGAGCGAGCGGCCGUCUAUGGCACAGGCGAUGCAUGUCCUGCAGUCCGAGGAUGCCAAGCUGCCGGAGCUUCGGCCGCAGAUGUACAGGGCUGAGCCUGUUCUUGCCAUGUGGGAACAUGGUUACACCGAUCUGUCGGUGUGGACGUCCUCCAGUGGCUGCACUGCAGUUGGUUCUGAUGCAGAACCGAGUAACUGA